CUAGGGAUAGUGUAGUGGAAACACUGCCGUCCUUCACAUGGGAGACCGGGGUUCGAAUCCCCGAGGUUCCUACA
RNAcentral lists this transfer RNA (74 nucleotides) under Danionella cerebrum. RNAcentral describes it as "tRNA-Glu". It matches the Rfam family "tRNA". Rfam says of the family: Transfer RNA (tRNA) molecules are approximately 80 nucleotides in length. Their secondary structure includes four short double-helical elements and three loops (D, anti-codon, and T loops). Lineage: Eukaryota; Metazoa; Chordata; Actinopteri; Cypriniformes; Danionidae. The record is from RNAcentral.